This 68-nucleotide transfer RNA is filed under the name Triticum aestivum (bread wheat). RNAcentral describes it as "tRNA_PseudoCTT". The stretch from base 5 to 60 matches the Rfam family "tRNA", at positions 10 to 63 of the family's 71-position model. Rfam says of the family: Transfer RNA (tRNA) molecules are approximately 80 nucleotides in length. Their secondary structure includes four short double-helical elements and three loops (D, anti-codon, and T loops). Lineage: Eukaryota; Viridiplantae; Streptophyta; Magnoliopsida; Poales; Poaceae. The record is from RNAcentral.
CGCUGUUUAGUUGGUAAAGCACAAAGAUCUUAACCUUGUGGACGUGGGUUCAAGCCCCAUAAUGGGGG